RNAcentral lists this ribosomal RNA (404 nucleotides) under uncultured bacterium. RNAcentral's name for it is "bacterial SSU rRNA". It matches the Rfam family "Bacterial small subunit ribosomal RNA", at positions 355 to 773 of the family's 1533-position model. The record is from RNAcentral.
UGGGGGAUAUUGCACAAUGGAGGAAACUCUGAUGCAGCGACGCCGCGUGAGGGAAGAAGGUCUUCGGAUUGUAAACCUCUGUCUUUGGGGACGAAGAAAGUGACGGUACCCAAAGAGGAAGCCACGGCUAACUACGUGCCAGCAGCCGCGGUAAUACGUAGGUGGCGAGCGUUGUCCGGAAUUACUGGGUGUAAAGGGUGCGUAGGCGGACUGGCAAGUUGGAUGUGAAAUCUCCGCGCUUAACGUGGAGGUUGCAUUCAAAACUGUUGGUCUUGAGUGAGGCAGAGGCAGGCGGAAUUCCCGGUGUAGCGGUGAAAUGCGUAGAGAUCGGGAGGAACACCAGUGGCGAAGGCGGCCUGCUGGGCCUUAACUGACGCUGAGGCACGAAAGCAUGGGUAGCAAAC